This 910-nucleotide ribosomal RNA is filed under the name Muscodor sp. OM-01. RNAcentral describes it as "eukaryotic LSU rRNA". It matches the Rfam family "Eukaryotic large subunit ribosomal RNA", at positions 71 to 1032 of the family's 3401-position model. Lineage: Eukaryota; Fungi; Ascomycota; Sordariomycetes; Xylariales. The record is from RNAcentral.
GGGAUUGCCCUAGUAACGGCGAGUGAAGCGGCAACAGCUCAAAUUUGAAAUCUGGCUCUAGGGCCCGAGUUGUAAUUUGCAGAGGAUGAUUUUGGCGCGGUGCCUUCCGAGUUCCCUGGAACGGGACGCCUUAGAGGGUGAGAGCCCCGUACGGUUGGACACCAAGCCUCUGUAAAUCUCCUUCGACGAGUCGAGUAGUUUGGGAAUGCUGCUCUAAAUGGGAGGUAAAUUUCUUCUAAAGCUAAAUACCGGCCAGAGACCGAUAGCGCACAAGUAGAGUGAUCGAAAGAUGAAAAGCACUUUGAAAAGAGGGUUAAAUAGCACGUGAAAUUGUUGAAAGGGAAGCAUUUACUACCAGACCUUCUCCCUGCGGAUCAUACGGUGUUCUCACCGCUGCACUUCGCUUGGUUUAGGCCAGCAUCGGUUUUCGUAGAGGGAUAAAAGCUUUAGGAACGUAGCUCCCUCGGGAGUGUUAUAGCCUUUUGCAUAAUACCUUUACGGGGACCGAGGACCGCGCUUUUGCAAGGAUGCUGGCAUAAUGGUAGUCAAUGACCCGUCUUGAAACACGGACCAAGGAGUCGAACAUUUGUGCGAGUGUUUGGGUGUUAAACCCUCACGCGUAAUGAAAGUGAACGUAGGUGAGAGCCCUUACGGGUGCAUCAUCGACCGAUCUUGAUGUCUUCGGAUGGAUUUGAGUAAGAGCAUAACUGUUCGGACCCGAAAGAUGGUGAACUAUGCGUGGAUAGGGUGAAGCCAGAGGAAACUCUGGUGGAGGCUCGCAGCGGUUCUGACGUGCAAAUCGAUCGUCAAAUCUGCGCAUGGGGGCGAAAGACUUAUCGAACCAUUAAACCAGCGGUAAAAAUAUUUACUAGGUGGUUAAGAGGCCCUCUGUAAAGAGAAAAAGGCCUAG